GGAGGAAGUAGGGGAUCGCAAGACCUUGCGCUUUUGGAGCGGCCGAUGCCUGAUUAGCUUGUUGGUGGGGUAAAAGCUCACCAAGGCUCCGAUCAGUAGCUGGUCUGAGAGGACGACCAGCCACACUGGGACUGAGACACGGCCCAGACUCCUACGGGAGGCAGCAGUGGGGAAUUUUGGACAAUGGGGGCAACCCUGAUCCAGCCAUGCCGCGUGAGUGAAGAAGGCCUUCGGGUUGUAAAGCUCUUUCAGCCGGAACGAAACGGUCACGGUCAAUACCCGUGACUACUGACGGUACCGGAAGAAGAAGCACCGGCUAACUACGUGCCAGCAGCCGCGGUAAUACGUAGGGUGCGAGCGUUAAUCGGAAUUACUGGGCGUAAAGCGUGCGCAGGCGGUUUUGUAAGUCAGAUGUGAAAUCCCCGGGCUUAGCCUGGGAACUGCGUUUGAAACUACAAAGCUAG
This 464-nucleotide ribosomal RNA is filed under the name uncultured bacterium. Its description in RNAcentral is "bacterial SSU rRNA". It matches the Rfam family "Bacterial small subunit ribosomal RNA", at positions 189 to 644 of the family's 1533-position model. The record is from RNAcentral.